Molecule: ribosomal RNA, 173 nt
Filed under: uncultured Methanomicrobiales archaeon
Lineage: Archaea; Methanobacteriati; Methanobacteriota; Methanomicrobia; Methanomicrobiales
Description: partial 16S ribosomal RNA
Rfam family: Archaeal small subunit ribosomal RNA
Source: RNAcentral
GGGCUACACGCGGGCUACAAUGGGUGGGACAAUGGGUAUCGACACCGAAAGGUGAAGGCAAUCUCCUAAACCCAUCCGUAGUUCGGAUUGUGGGCUGCAACUCGCCCACAUGAAGCUGGAAUCUGUAGUAAUCGUGUCUCAAAAUGGCACGGUGAAUAUGUCCCUGGCUCCUU